This 102-nucleotide unclassified non-coding RNA is filed under the name Yersinia enterocolitica (type O:5,27) str. YE149/02. The stretch from base 1 to 81 matches the Rfam family "Tryptophan operon leader", at positions 22 to 100 of the family's 100-position model. Rfam says of the family: At least 6 amino acid operons are known to be regulated by attenuation. In each a leader sequence of 150-200 bp is found upstream of the first gene in the operon. Lineage: Bacteria; Pseudomonadati; Pseudomonadota; Gammaproteobacteria; Enterobacterales; Yersiniaceae. The record is from RNAcentral.
CUCUUCCGGGCGGUGUAAUCGCGCAUAUCAGUCAUCAGACAGUGCAGAUUGCUUCAGCCCGCUAAUAGCGGGUUUUUUUAUGAAUGUACCCAUCAUAAUUUC